Molecule: long non-coding RNA, 1106 nt
Organism: Triticum aestivum (bread wheat)
Lineage: Eukaryota; Viridiplantae; Streptophyta; Magnoliopsida; Poales; Poaceae
Exons: 5
Source: RefSeq, a predicted model, not a curated record
UCAAAUCUAAAACGUACUUCGCUAUUAUUGGCCUUUGUUCUUGGUCAUUCCAUCAGUAGCCUUACUUUCCUUAUCCACUCAAUGCUUUGAAAGCACAUAAUGUAAUAUAUGUGACCUUCGGUUAAUUAGUAUUGUUGUAAACAAAUUCCACAAGUGACAGUAAGCAUAGAGGAACAUCCUUACCUGCUGUUUGGAACAUGCCAGAUGGUGCGCAGAUAGUUGUAAAAUGCAAUCAUCUUGGCCAGCCUAUUGGGGACGAAGGUGGAGUCCUGGGGAAAUUUCUUGGCACAAUAGCUAGACUUGGGGGCUAUUGUCCACUUGACAAAAAGGACUGGUGUAAUAUGAAGAAGGAUGGUGGGGCUGACACAAUACUUCAGUGUGUACAGACAAAGUUCUUGUACCCUGCUAAGUGUGACAAGUGGAUACUGAAAACUACCGGGCGUCGAUGAGAUUGGAGAAGAUUCAAGGCUGGUCUGAAGAAGAAUUUCUUUAAUGCAAACAAGAAAAGAAAAUCUUUGUAUAAGCUUUGUCCAGAAUAUGUGGAUAGUGACCAAUGGCGUGAACUUGUCAAGUUUUGGAAGUCUAAGGAAGGAAGGGCAGUAAGUGAGAAGAACAAAAUAAGUCGUACAAAGGUGAAGACAAGUCAUACAGUAGGGACAAAGAGUUUUGCUCGUUGGGCUGAGGACCUUCGUCAAGAGGACCCUGAGAAGAAGCAACCACAUAGAGCGAAGGUUUAUUUAGCGACUCAUAGAAAACCAAAAAAGGCCAAAGAUAAAAAUAAGCUUGUGGUUGAAUUGAAAAAGGUAAUUAGUGAACAACCAGAGUUGGCACAAAGUGACCAGGGAAGAGUUGCAUGGAAAGGUGAUGCCUAGCACAAAGUUUUGGGGAAUGAAAAGCCUGGACAAGUACAUGGAAUGGGCUUGCUUCCUGUUCCUAACCAAGUUUAUGGUCGAAAACCUCGUUAUCUCAAGAACAUCAAUGCGACCACAACAAAUGGUUCAUCACAUGAUGAAGAGGCUGGUGCUAGGGAGGAGAUUGCAAAGCUGAAGCAACGCAUAGAACAGCAAGACCAAAUCAUUGAUGCAUUAAGAAACAAAGAUGAAGUG